This 452-nucleotide ribosomal RNA is filed under the name uncultured bacterium. RNAcentral describes it as "bacterial SSU rRNA". It matches the Rfam family "Bacterial small subunit ribosomal RNA", at positions 10 to 507 of the family's 1533-position model. The record is from RNAcentral.
AGUUUGAUCAUGGCUCAGAACGAACGCUGGCGGCAGGCUUAACACAUGCAAGUCGAACGGUUGUAGCAAUACAGCAGUGGCGCACGGGUGAGUAACGCGUGGAUAUCUGCCUUUUGGUUCGGAAUAACUCCGGGAAACUGGAGCUAAUACCGGAUGGUUCCUGCGGGAUAAAGAUUUAUCGCCAAAAGAUGAGUCCGCGUACGAUUAGCUAGUUGGUGAGGUAAUGGCUCACCAAGGCGACGAUCGUUAGCUGGUCUGAGAGGACGAUCAGCCACACUGGGACUGAGACACGGCCCAGACUCCUACGGGAGGCAGCAGUGGGGAAUAUUGGACAAUGGGGGCAACCCUGAUCCAGCCAUGCCGCGUGAGUGAUGAAGGCCUUCGGGUUGUAAAGCUCUUUGGCGGGGACGAUGAUGACGGUACCCGCAGAAUAAGCCCCGGCUAACUUCGUG